RNAcentral lists this ribosomal RNA (253 nucleotides) under uncultured bacterium. RNAcentral's name for it is "partial 16S ribosomal RNA". It matches the Rfam family "Bacterial small subunit ribosomal RNA", at positions 524 to 776 of the family's 1533-position model. The record is from RNAcentral.
UACGUAGGGUGCAAGCGUUGUCCGGAAUUAUUGGGCGUAAAGCGCUCGUAGGCGGGAUCGAUAGUCCGUGAAGAAAGACCUGGGCUCAACUCAGGGAACGGCACGGAUACUUCGAUUCUUGAGGCAAUCAGAGGGUGAUGGAAUUCCCGGUGUAGCAGUGAAAUGCGUAGAGAUCGGGAGGAACACCAGUGGCGAAGGCGGCCUUCUGGACCAGUACUGACGCUCAUGCACGAAAGCGUGGGGAGCAAACAGG